AUGGUUUGCAGUACCCGCGUCAAAGAAACCAAUGACAAUAAUUCGGUGCCUUGUUUUAUGCUCACAGUUUUGCCUUGCCUGAGAACUUAUGGCAGCAAUAUUGAUAGCGCUCAUCUCAAUCUUCUAUAUGCUAACUGUUCGCUCAAGAUUUCUACUUAUCGGUUUGUAACAAGAUUUGGGAAAGGCAUGGUUAGGAUUGAUAUUUUGAGGAUUGAUGAAGGAGCUUUGGAAAUUAGGAGUGAUGGAAAAGUUUUAGCUUAUGAUAGGAAUCUUCAUACAAUUCUCUUGGUGGUUCAUUGUUGA
Molecule: non-coding RNA, 303 nt
Organism: Vicia faba (fava bean)
Lineage: Eukaryota; Viridiplantae; Streptophyta; Magnoliopsida; Fabales; Fabaceae
Source: the annotation of a GenBank genome assembly